Non-coding RNA from Oryctolagus cuniculus (rabbit), 1361 nucleotides. The record is from RefSeq and is a predicted model, not a curated record. NCBI's taxonomy places the organism in Eukaryota, Metazoa, Chordata, Mammalia, Lagomorpha, Leporidae.
GUUAACUGCAGCCAGAGGGGCAGGUGUUUGGAGAGCAGAGCCCUGCAGGUGAUGGGAAAAAUGCCAGCCUGGGGAUAGGAGCCAACGUGGAGCGUCAACCAGACUAAGCUUAUUAAGUCAACGACUUUCCAUGCGCAAGCACCGCUGUGGCUUUAUCAUCACAAUCACCAACAGCACAGAACAACUCACUGCGUACUGCAGCCUGGACCCAGCCUGACUCUGACUGCUCCACUUGACACUUUCUUCCUUGCUCUUUCGUUUCCAGCCCUACUGGCUUUUGUUUCCACUUCUUGAAGGGAUUUGCAUUGCUGAGACCUCUCAGGAUGUCUGCUUCCCUGCUAACCGGGUUUCCCAAGGCCUCUGCUAGACAGCAUCUAGAAACACUGAGAAUGGAGACUCGAACCAUUUCACCCUCGGCUGAGUGCCUUCAUGCCACGGGAGCAGAAGCAGGGUGGACAUACUCACAGAGCCACAGAGAACACUCUUUAGCCUGGUUGGGAGACUCCUGGAUUUAAGUCUGGCCUGCUCCAGCGACAAAAACCAGAGGAUCCAGUGCACCUCGUGUUUUUGAGUUCAGCAUUCCCAUGUUCUACUUGUGUCAUCCAAGCAAACGAUUCCAUUUCAUAGAACCUCGGUUUCCUGUGUCCAGAAAGUGGAUAUAACAAAGGGAACCUGGCUGAGAUUGGACCCAGAGAAUUUUGGAUCUCUCAGAACACAUCAGGCCAUGCUAUAGAACCUGUGGUGGACUGCAUUUUCCGAAGAUGGACACAUCUCUCCUGGCCCGCGCGCUCCCUGUGGUGACACGCUCACACCUGUGCUCUCCCUCUGCGGUGAGAUGGCACCUGGACCCAACUCCCAGGGUCUGGGCAGGCUUGCGACUUUGGGGGAAGUGAUGCUGCGUGACUUCUGAGCCCAUGUCAUAAAAGGUAGUAACUGGAACAAGCCACCUAUCUUGAAGCUUCAGUGCUCGCCUGGUCACCUGAUUGGAUCACAUGAAGUGACCAUCGAACAAUUUCUGCAAUUGGAUUGAUAUCACAUUUCAGCCCAAAGUUUGCAACCUGAGACUGCCUUAAGAGUCCACACAGCCUUGGAACUUUCUGACUGACACAGGUCCCACUUUGUUGGCUCCCCUGACAAAAGCAGCACCUGUUUUGGGUGUCUUUCCUGGAACAGCAAUCUAUAAAAUGCCUUCAAGAGGUACAGGACAAAUUGAGGUUUCCCAUGUUCGGUUCUGGGGCUCAGCUGACUUGGCCAAGGGCACACUCCUGAAUCAGAAUGUUCUAAACUUUCCCAUUAGGCCAUUUUGAACAGGACAAUCACGGUGCUUGAUCUGGUACGAAACAUGCUGCAGGAGAAUUCUG